AGGACGAACGCUGGCGGCGUGCUUAACACAUGCAAGUCGAGGGAGGCCGACCCUUCGGGGUCGAGUCGACCGGCGGACGGGUGAGUAACACGUGACCAACUUACCUUCGGGAGGGGGACAACCUGGGGAAACCCGGGCUAAUACCGCAUAAAGUGCCUUGGCCGCAUGACCGGGGCAUGAAAGGGGGCCUCUACUUGUAAGCUCCCGCCUGAAGAGGGGGUCGCGGCGUAUCAGCUAGUUGGUAGGGUAACGGCCUACCAAGGCGACGACGCGUAGCGGGUCUGAGAGGACGACCCGCCACAUUGGGACUGAGAUACGGCCCAGACUCCUACGGGAGGCAGCAGUGGGGAAUAUUGCGCAAUGGACCGAAAGGCUGACG
RNAcentral lists this ribosomal RNA (379 nucleotides) under uncultured soil bacterium. RNAcentral describes it as "bacterial SSU rRNA". It matches the Rfam family "Bacterial small subunit ribosomal RNA", at positions 26 to 388 of the family's 1533-position model. The record is from RNAcentral.